AGAAGGUCAAAGUUUAACCUAAGUGCAGUGUAGCUGAUGAACAUCUUUAUAUUCCCUUUAUUAAUCUGGGGUAACCACAGCGGAAUGAACUGUCAAUUUAUCCAGCAUAUGUUUUACGCAGUGGAUGCCCUUCCAGCUGCAAGCCAUCACUGGGAAACAACCAUAUACGCUUAUUCACACUCAUACACUACAGACAAUUAAGCCUACCCAAUUCACCUGUACCCCAUGUCUUUGGACUUGUAGGCAAAACCGGAGCACCCAGAGAAAACCCACGCAAACGCAGGGAGAAUUUGCAGACUCCACACAGAAAUGCCAGCUGAAAUGGAUGCCUGAUUGCAGUUCAACUCCAAACUCAGUUGGACCAGCUGAUCAGUGUCUUCAGUAUUACCACCAGCUACUGGGCAGAUGUGUGGACAGCUAUGAGCCAAACUUGGGACGUUUGGUUUUUAGGUGGAGAGACCGUCUGGGCAGCAGAAACAAGACAACUAAUCAUAGUCCUCCUGAUCAUUCUGUUCUCCUGGUUGUGAGGAUGUGCAGAGGCUGUAUUUGUCAGUGUUAAAAGACUUGUGCAGCUGUAUCUAGACAUACAAGCAGCCGACAAAGAGUUCUGGAGCAGGACAGACAGG
Non-coding RNA from Danio rerio (zebrafish), 626 nucleotides. The record is from Ensembl. NCBI's taxonomy places the organism in Eukaryota, Metazoa, Chordata, Actinopteri, Cypriniformes, Danionidae.